MicroRNA precursor from Arabidopsis thaliana (thale cress), 295 nucleotides. It matches the Rfam family "MIR869 microRNA precursor family". The record is from Rfam. NCBI's taxonomy places the organism in Eukaryota, Viridiplantae, Streptophyta, Magnoliopsida, Brassicales, Brassicaceae.
GCCCACCAUACAGAUUUCCAUACGGUAGAAGAAAGUAUCACCUAUCUCAACUCCAGGAUUGGACCAGUACUAGGCUCAUCAUAGUUAAGCCACAAUCCACGAUUCCUCAUCAGCUAUAAAAGCAAAACCUUCAUAUCUAUCCUUGUUUCUAAACCAGUCUCAUAGAUAUGAAGGCUUUGUUUCUGAUGAAGGAUUGUGGGAUUGUUGCUUAACACUGAUGAGCAUAUUAUUGGUUCAAUUCUGGUGUUGAGAUAGUUGACACUUCUUAUACCGUAUGAAAACAUGUGUGGUGGGC